CCUACGGGAGGCAGCAGUGAGGAAUAUUGGUCAAUGGACGAGAGUCUGAACCAGCCAAGUAGCGUGAAGGAUGACUGCCCUAUGGGUUGUAAACUUCUUUUAUAAGGGAAUAAAACGACGCACGUGUGCCUUUUUGCAUGUACUUUAUGAAUAAGGACCGGCUAACUCCGUGCCAGCAGCCGCGGUAAUACGGAGGAUCCGAGCGUUAUCCGGAUUGAUUGGGUUUAAAGGGAGCGUAGAUGGGUUGUUAAGUCAGUUGUGAAAUUUUUGGGCUCAACCCUAAAAUUGCAAUGGAUACUGGCAGUCUUGAGUACAGUUGAGGUAGGCGGAAUUCGUGGUGUAGCGGUGAAAUGCUUAGAUAUCACGAAGAACCCCGAUUGCGAAGGCAGCUUACUAAACUGUGACUGACAUUGAUGCUCGAAAGUGUGGGUAUCAAACAGGAUUAGAUACCCGUGUAGUC
RNAcentral lists this ribosomal RNA (460 nucleotides) under uncultured bacterium. Its description in RNAcentral is "partial 16S ribosomal RNA". It matches the Rfam family "Bacterial small subunit ribosomal RNA", at positions 338 to 795 of the family's 1533-position model. The record is from RNAcentral.